Molecule: long non-coding RNA, 587 nt
Filed under: Jatropha curcas
Lineage: Eukaryota; Viridiplantae; Streptophyta; Magnoliopsida; Malpighiales; Euphorbiaceae
Description: long non-coding RNA (JCUR_LNC000533)
Source: RNAcentral
AAAAAUUUAAUUAAUAUUUCUUACUUAUCAUUUCUUUUUAAUUAACUUCAAAAUAUCAGAUAGGUCGAAACAGAUGUAUCAGCCUUCAUACAACAAAAAUCUAUUCUUCUUUAUACUUGCAUAACUGGUUAUAAUAUGCACUAUUUUCAUAUACAAAAAAUGCUCCAAUCAGCUGUAAGACCAAAAAGCUUAAAAUCUGCAAAAUUUCUAACACUUUACAUCGGUGCACCUGUCCAUGAGUGAACUACGUUUGGCAUUGUAGACUGAGCACCUCUACUACUCUACAUUAUAUAGUCUUCUUACAAGCCCUAGGAAGUCCCUUCUUCAACCUCUUUAAACCUCGUAUAGCAUCAUACUUCUCUGUUUCUUCAAAAUCAUCAUCACCAAAUCAAGAAAAUGUAUUAGACGUGGGUAGAAAGUGAGACUGAGAAGUAGAUGAAUCUGACACCUAAUGCUUUUUCAGAGUUUUUAAUGGUCACAUGAAUAGGGAUGUAAAUAAGCCGGGCCGGCUCGUGAGCUGUUCAAGCUUAGCUUAAAUCAAGUUCAAGUUCUAGUCUAAUGAUGUUCAACUUGAAAAUUUAUCAAAC